AACCCAACUCCAGCCUCUUGGCCCACAACCCAAAACAAACAACAAUCCAACAUCCUCCGCACCUGCGUUGCGUGUUAGAAUCGAAACUCCACAGUCCAGUGAGAGGAAGAGAAAGCAUGAAGUUCACAGACUCGCCGGUGAUCGAGCUUGCGGUGAACGACGCCGUUCUGUCGCUUCAGCAAGACAACGGGUCCAUGCACGUGGGAACCACCGUGUGGCCAUGCUCCCUCGUCCUCGUCAAAUUCGCGGAGCGCUGGGGCCCACCCUCUGACAACAACCCCUACGCUCGCGUGCUCGACUUCCAAGGCAAGCGGGCCGUGGAGCUCGGCACGGGCUGCGGCGUGGCGGGAAUGGGCCUCUACCUGUUGGGCCUGACGGACCUGCUCCUCACCGACAUCGCACCCGUCAUGCCGGCCCUGAAGCGCAACCUGAAAGUCAACAAGCCCAUCCUCCGCAAGUCCCUCAAACACUCCGUGCUCUACUGGAACAACCCGCAGCAGAUCGCUGCCCUAAAUCCUCCCUUCGAUUUCGUUAUCGCAACCGAUGUCGUUUACAUUCCGGAAUCUGUUCCUUCCUUGGUUUCUGCAAUGGAAACCCUCGUCUCUGACGACGGCGUCGUUUUGCUUGGGUACCAGCUUAGGGCACCCGAGGCGCACGAGCUUUUCUGGGAACUGUGUCAACAAGUCUUCCACGUUGAGAAAGUCCCGCACGAGCAUCUGCAUCCCGAUUACGCUUACGAAGAAACCGAUGUUUAUCUGUUGAAGAAGAAAAACAAGAAACAGUGACUGAUUAUAGCUAAUAGGUAUUGAGGUAAAGACAAAUCUUGGGAAUUGGCUAGAGGCAGUGGGUGUGAUAGAAAGUUGUUAGCCGUGGUGUUUAUGUUGACCCUUCAAAUGAUUGCCAACAAAGGAUCCUGGAAUAUACCUGAGACGCGUGUGCUUGCUGCUGUUUUUGUCUUUGUUUUUCUGAGCUUUAGGCUCCCUUGACAUAAGGGGGAAAAAGUUAGUGAAUGGAGGGUAUUAAAUAUGAGAGUAAAGCUACCUAUAUCUAAUUGUUACAUAAAUUUUAUUAUUUAAUCAUAGCUCAUUUAACCUUCUUUUUAAUCAUUAAUAUUCGGAUUCUGGUAUAUGUCCCAUGUGUGAGUAGGAGUGUGCAGACCUGGUUUGCAAUACAUCUUAUUGUAAAUAAAUGAAUAUGCAAAUCAUAGGCAAAUACAAAUUUCUUAUGGUUGAAGGUAUGGCUCUGCAAGACUUGGUUUGGUGGCAUAAAGUAGUAGACUUGAUUGCACCACAAGUCAAUACACCAUCAGUAUUAUUUUAUUUUAGUACAAACAAGCUACCGAAUGGCAGAUGGUGAAUAGUCUGCCACUGAUGUAAGAACAAGACCGAGAAGAAGACGCAGAUGAAGAGAAGCUGACUAUUUAUGUGUGCACUUUGCCCUUUCUGUAUACAAAGAUAAUUUUGAUUUCAUGCAUCAUCGAAUAUAAAUGUUAGUUAAUCGAUUCCCAGUUGUUA
Glycine soja is the source of this 1514-nucleotide RNA transcript. It is a transcript of the gene named protein N-lysine methyltransferase METTL21A-like, with no coding region annotated. NCBI's taxonomy places the organism in Eukaryota, Viridiplantae, Streptophyta, Magnoliopsida, Fabales, Fabaceae. The record is from RefSeq and is a predicted model, not a curated record. The transcript has 3 exons.